This 778-nucleotide ribosomal RNA is filed under the name uncultured Tomentella. RNAcentral describes it as "eukaryotic LSU rRNA". The stretch from base 236 to 390 matches the Rfam family "5.8S ribosomal RNA". The record is from RNAcentral. Lineage: Eukaryota; Fungi; Basidiomycota; Agaricomycetes; Thelephorales; Thelephoraceae.
AWRGKUUCCGUAGGUGAACCUGCGGAAGGAUCAUUACCGAAUUGUCAAACGGGUUGUUGCUGGUCUUCAAACGGGGACAUGUGCACGCUCUGUUUACACAUCCACUCACACCUGUGCACCCUCCGUAGUUCUAUGGUCUGGGGGACCCUGUCUUCCUGCCGUGGUUCUACGUCUUUACACACACUCUGUAAUAAAGUCUUAUGGAAUGUAUGCCGCGUCUAACGCAAUACAAUACAACUUUCAGCAACGGAUCUCUUGGCUCUCGCAUCGAUGAAGAACGCAGCGAAAUGCGAUAAGUAAUGUGAAUUGCAGAAUUCAGUGAAUCAUCGAAUCUUUGAACGCACCUUGCGCCCCUUGGCUAUUCCGAGGGGCAUGCCUGUUUGAGUAUCAUGAACACCUCAACUCUCAUGGUUCGCCAUGAUGAGCUUGGACUCUGGGGGUUUUGCUGGCCUGCGGUCGGCUCCCCUCAAAUGAAUCAGCCUCCCAGUGUUUGGUGGCAUCACGGGUGUGAUAAAUAUCUACGCUCGCGGUUGUCUGCCAUGUAACCUUUGGUGACAAAGGUUUGCUGGAGCUCACAGAUGUCUCUCCUCGGCGAGGACAGCUUUUUUGAACGUUCGAUCUCAAAUCAGGUAGGACUACCCGCUGAACUUAAGCAUAUCAAUAAGCGGAGGAAAAGAAACUAACAAGGAUUCCCCUAGUAACUGCGAGUGAAGCGGGAAGAGCUCAAAUUUAAAAUCUGGCGUGCCUCUGGUCGUCCGAGUUGUAGUCUAGAGWAGCG